RNAcentral lists this small RNA (130 nucleotides) under Klebsiella pneumoniae. RNAcentral describes it as "partial RtT sRNA". It matches the Rfam family "RtT RNA", at positions 35 to 130 of the family's 130-position model. Rfam says of the family: This family represents a bacterial cis-regulatory element known as RtT RNA. Lineage: Bacteria; Pseudomonadati; Pseudomonadota; Gammaproteobacteria; Enterobacterales; Enterobacteriaceae. The record is from RNAcentral.
UCGCAGGUUCGAAUCCUGCACGACCCACCAAUUUCAGCAUUUAACUCAGAUGCUGAACGUGAAGGAUAACGUUGCGUCAGCAACGGCCCGAGGGGCGAGGCAAAGCCGAGUCAUCCUGCACGACCUACCA